Molecule: ribosomal RNA, 159 nt
Filed under: Pilobolus umbonatus
Lineage: Eukaryota; Fungi; Mucoromycota; Mucoromycetes; Mucorales; Pilobolaceae
Description: 5.8S ribosomal RNA
Rfam family: 5.8S ribosomal RNA
About the family: 5.8S ribosomal RNA (5.8S rRNA) is a component of the large subunit of the eukaryotic ribosome. It is transcribed by RNA polymerase I as part of the 45S precursor that also contains 18S and 28S rRNA.
Source: RNAcentral
UAAAACAACUUUUAACAACGGAUCUCUAGGCUCUCGUAUCGAUGAAGAACGUAGCAAAUUGCGAUAACUAUUGUGAAUUGCAUUUCGUGAAUCAUCAAGUUUUUGAACGCAUCUUGCACUCUGUGGUAUUCCGCAGAGUACACUUGUUUCAGUAUCAUA